GCGCACCAGUCGAGAAACCUCCGCAAUACACGAAAGUGUGACGGGGCCAUCCCGAGUGCCGUCCGCUGAGGACGGCUUUUCCCCAGUGUACAUAGCUGGGGGAAUAAGGAGAGGGCAAGCCUGGUGUCAGCCGCCGCGGUAAUACCAGCUCUCCGAGUGGUGGGGACGCUUAUUGGGCCUAAAAGCAUCCGUAGCCGGCUAGGCAAGGUCCUCCGUUAAAUCCAACGAUUCAAUCGUUGGGCUGCGGGGGAUACUGUCCAGCUUGGGGAGCGGGAGAGGCCGACGGUAUUCCCGGGGUAGGGGUGAAAUCCGUAUAAUCCCGGGAGGACCACCAGUGGCGAAGGCUGUCGGCUAGAACGCGCCCGACGGUGAGGGAU
Molecule: ribosomal RNA, 377 nt
Filed under: uncultured microorganism
Description: bacterial SSU rRNA
Rfam family: Archaeal small subunit ribosomal RNA
Source: RNAcentral